CAGCCGCCGCGGUAAUACGUAGGUGGCAAGCGUUGUCCGGAAUUAUUGGGCGUAAAGGGCUCGCAGGCGGUUUCUUAAGUCUGAUGUGAAAGCCCCCGGCUCAACCGGGGAGGGUCAUUGGAAACUGGGAAACUUGAGUGCAGAAGAGGAGAGUGGAAUUCCACGUGUAGCGGUGAAAUGCGUAGAGAUGUGGAGGAACACCAGUGGCGAAGGCGACUCUCUGGUCUGUAACUGACGCUGAGGAGCGAAAGCGUGGGGAGCGAACAGGAUUAGAGACCCGCGUAGUCCCUGUCUCUUAUAA
This 301-nucleotide ribosomal RNA is filed under the name uncultured bacterium. Its description in RNAcentral is "partial 16S ribosomal RNA". It matches the Rfam family "Bacterial small subunit ribosomal RNA", at positions 509 to 809 of the family's 1533-position model. The record is from RNAcentral.